UCAGAUUGCCCAUGCGCUCAACCACCUGAAGGCUGCAGGGAUUCUCCACGCAGACCUCAAGUUGGACAACGUCAUGUUGGUCGAUCAGCUACGGGAGGCCUUCAUGGUCAAGGUGAUCGACUUCGGACUGGCGUUUGACGUGUCAGCUGCCAAGUUGGGUUCCCAUAUUCAGACCCUUCCAUACCGAUCCCCAGAGAUCAUGCUGGGGCAUCCCUUCACAGAGGCCAUAGACAUGUGGUCGCUAGGCUGCAUUGCUGCUGCGAUGUAACUCGGGUCCAUGCUCUACCCUGGAUUGGGUGAAUAUGAAAUGAUCAGAUACAUCAUGGAGACUCAGGGUCAGCUACCCGACACCAUGCUCAACCAUGGAUGUAAAACUCCACAAUUCUUCAAGAGAAACGUAGACUCAACCACCUCUGUCUGGAAACUCAAGGUGCCGACAUGAAACCGCUUGUUAUAUUCAAAUGUCUCUAUCUCCAUCUCGUGUCUGCCUUGCUGUAACAUAUUUGGUUCCCUCUACACGCUUGUGCGAGUCUGAUGCACUCUGCUAACCCCACAACUUUCUGAACAGACACCAGAGGAGUACCACAAAGAGACAGGGUAGCAACCAAUGGAGAACAGAUUUUGGAAGUUCACCUCCCUGGACGGCCUCUUGCAUGUUUGUCUUCUUUAAGAACAUUCAACAUGAGCUUGUUCCUUUAGGAAGAAAAACACUCGGAAUGUCCUAGAGAGGUUUUUAUUCAGUACCGGAGCUAACCGAGGACAAGUUUGUGUUUUAGACCCGACCCAUCAGCAAUGGCAACUCUGCAGAUAAAGUUGCAGAGAUGGCUGACGCCCACAUGUUUGUGGACUUGCUGAAGGCGAUUGUAGUAUAUUCAGCUCCAACAUGGUUAUAUAUGUUGUUUAUUCAGCUCUAACAUGGUUAUAUACAAUGAUGGCAUGUUACUGUUGUAAAUUCAGCUAAUGAUUUUAGCUGAAGAUUUUCACUAUCUGGCCUUUGUGAUUUCUCUGGGCAUACCAUGG
Platichthys flesus (European flounder) is the source of this 1020-nucleotide long non-coding RNA. RefSeq lists it as uncharacterized. NCBI's taxonomy places the organism in Eukaryota, Metazoa, Chordata, Actinopteri, Pleuronectiformes, Pleuronectidae. The record is from RefSeq and is a predicted model, not a curated record. The transcript is spliced from 3 exons.